This 464-nucleotide ribosomal RNA is filed under the name Vreelandella stevensii. RNAcentral's name for it is "partial 16S ribosomal RNA". It matches the Rfam family "Bacterial small subunit ribosomal RNA", at positions 338 to 795 of the family's 1533-position model. Lineage: Bacteria; Pseudomonadati; Pseudomonadota; Gammaproteobacteria; Oceanospirillales; Halomonadaceae. The record is from RNAcentral.
CCUACGGGGCGCAGCAGUGGGGAAUAUUGGACAAUGGGCGAAAGCCUGAUCCAGCCAUGCCGCGUGUGUGAAGAAGGCCUUCGGGUUGUAAAGCACUUUCAGUGGGGAAGAAAGCCUUGGGGCUAAUACCCUCGAGGAAGGACAUCACCCACAGAAGAAGCACCGGCUAACUCCGUGCCAGCAGCCGCGGUAAUACGGAGGGUGCGAGCGUUAAUCGGAAUUACUGGGCGUAAAGCGCGCGUAGGCGGUCUGAUAAGCCGGUUGUGAAAGCCCCGGGCUCAACCUGGGAACGGCAUCCGGAACUGUCAGGCUAGAGUGCAGGAGAGGAAGGUAGAAUUCCCGGUGUAGCGGUGAAAUGCGUAGAGAUCGGGAGGAAUACCAGUGGCGAAGGCGGCCUUCUGGACUGACACUGACGCUGAGGUGCGAAAGCGUGGGUAGCAAACAGGAUUAGAUACCCCAUAGUC